GAGUAACACGUGAGCAAUCUGCCUUUCAGAGGGGGAUACCGAUUGGAAACGAUCGUUAAUACCGCAUAAUAUAAUUGAACCGCAUGAUUUGAUUAUCAAAGAUUUAUCGCUGAAAGAUGAGCUCGCGUCUGAUUAGCUAGUUGGUAAGGUAACGGCUUACCAAGGCGACGAUCAGUAGCCGGACUGAGAGGUUGAUCGGCCACAUUGGGACUGAGACACGGCCCAGACUCCUACGGGAGGCAGCAGUGGGGAAUAUUGCACAAUGGAGGAAACUCUGAUGCAGCGAUGCCGCGUGAGGGAAGAAGGUUUUAGGAUUGUAAACCUCUGUCUUCAGGGACGAAAAAAGACGGUACCUGAGGAGGAAGCUCCGGCUAACUACGUGCCAGCAGCCGCGGUAAUACGUAGGGAGCGAGCGUUGUCCGGAAUUACUGGGUGUAAAGGGAGCGUAGGCGGGAUCGCAAGUCAGAUGUGAAAACUAUGGGCUUAACCCAUAAACUGCAUUUGAAACUGUGGUUCUUGAGUGAAGUAGAGGUAAGCGGAAUUCCUAGUGUAGCGGUGAAAUGCGUAGAUAUUAGGAGGAACAUCAGUGGCGAAGGCGGCUUACUGGGCUUUAACUGACGCUGAGGCUCGAAAGCGUGGGGAGCAAACAGGAUUAGAUACCCUGGUAGUCCACGCCGUAAACGAUGAUUACUAGGUGUGGGGGGACUGACCCCUUCCGUGCCGCAGCAAACGCAAUAAGUAAUCCACCUGGGGAGUACGACCGCAAGGUUGAAACUCAAAGGAAUUGACGGGGGCCCGCACAAGCAGUGGAGUAUGUGGAUUAAUUC
This 827-nucleotide ribosomal RNA is filed under the name uncultured bacterium. RNAcentral's name for it is "bacterial SSU rRNA". It matches the Rfam family "Bacterial small subunit ribosomal RNA", at positions 108 to 952 of the family's 1533-position model. The record is from RNAcentral.